Molecule: ribosomal RNA, 429 nt
Filed under: Acidobacteriota bacterium
Lineage: Bacteria; Pseudomonadati; Acidobacteriota
Description: Acidobacteria bacterium partial 16S ribosomal RNA
Rfam family: Bacterial small subunit ribosomal RNA
Source: RNAcentral
UGGGGAAUGUUGGACAAUGGGGGAAACCCUGAUCCAGCCAUCCCGCGUGUGCGAUGAAGGCCUUCGGGUUGUAAAGCAUUUUUGGCAGGAAAGAAACGUCAUGGGUUAAUACCCCGUGAAACUGACGGUACCUGCAGAAUAAGCACCUGCUAACUACGUGCCAGCAGCCGCGGUAAUACGUAGGGUGCAAGCGUUAAUCGGAAUUACUGGGCGUAAAGCGUGCGCAGGCGGUUCGGAAAGAAAGAUGUGAAAUCCCAGAGCUCAACUUUGGAACUGCAAUGUUCACUACCGGGCUAAACCGUGUCAGAGGGAUGUGGAAUUCCGCGUGUAGCAGUGAAAUGCGUAGAUAUGCGGAGGCACACCGAUGGCGAAGGCAGCCUCCUGAGAUAACACUGCCGCUCAUGCAAGAAAGCGUGGGGAGCCACCAGG